UCGUUUAUUUGAUAGUACCUUUACUACUUGGAUAACCGUGGUAAUUCUAGAGCUAAUACAUGCUCAAAAUCCCGACUGUUUGGAAGGGAUGUAUUUAUUAGAUAAAAAAUCAAUGCUCUUUGAGCUCUUUGAUGAUUCAUAAUAACUUUUCGAAUCGCAUGGCCUUGNGCUGGCGAUGGUUCAUUCAAAUUUCUGCCCUAUCAACUUUCGAUGGUAGGAUAGUGGCCUACCAUGGUUUCAACGGGUAACGGGGAAUAAGGGUUCGAUUCCGGAGAGGGAGCCUGAGAAACGGCUACCACAUCCAAGGAAGGCAGCAGGCGCGCAAAUUACCCAAUCCCGACACGGGGAGGUAGUGACAAUACAUAACGAUACAGGGCCCUUUCGGGUCUUGUAAUUGGAAUGAGUACAAUGUAAAUACCUUAACGAGGAACAAUUGGAGGGCAAGUCUGGUGCCAGCAGCCGCGGUAAUUCCAGCUCCAAUAGCGUAUAUUAAAGUUGUUGCAGUUAAAAAGCUCGUAGUUGAACUUUGGGCUUGGUUGGCCGGUCCGCCUUUUUGGCGAGUACUGGACCCAACCGAGCCUUUCCUUCUGGCUAACCAUUCGCCCUUGUGGUGUUUGGCGAACCAGGACUUUUACUUUGAAAAAAUUAGAGUGUUCAAAGCAGGCCUUUGCUCGAAUAUAUUAGCAUGGAAUAAUAGAAUAGGACGUUAUGGUUCUAUUUUGUUGGUUUCUAGGACCAUCGUAAUGAUUAAUAGGGACGGUCGGGGGCAUCAGUAUUCAGUUGUCAGAGGUGAAAUUCUUAGAUUUACUGAAGACUAACUACUGCGAAAGCAUUUGCCAAGGACGUUUUCAUUAAUCAAGAACGAAAGUUAGGGGAUCGAAGAUGAUCAGAUACCGUCGUAGUCCUUAACCAAACCACUAAACUAUGCUCGACGAUAGGGAUCGGGGGUGUUGUUCUUUUUUUUUNGCCGACGCACUCGGCACCUUACGAGAAAUCAAAGUCUUUGGGUUCUGGGGGAGUAUGGUCGCAAGGCUUGAAACUUAAAGGAAUUGACGGAAGGGCACCACCAGGAGUGGAGCCUGCGGCUUAAUUUGACUCAACACGGGGAAACUCACCAGGUCCAGACACAAUAAGGAUUGACAGAUUGAGAGCUCUUUCUUGAUUUUGUGGGUGGUGGUGCAUGGCCGUUCUUAGUUGGUGGAGUGAUUUGUCUGCUUAAUUGCGAUAACGAACGAGACCUUAACCUACUAAAUAGUGCUGCUAGCUUUUGCUGGUAUAGUCACUUCUUAGAGGGACUAUCGAUUUCAAGUCGAUGGAAGUUUGAGGCAAUAACAGGUCUGUGAUGCCCUUAGACGUUCUGGGCCGCACGCGCGCUACACUGACGGAGCCAGCGAGUAUUAACCUUGGCCGAGAGGUCNGGGAAAUCUUGUGAAACUCCGUCGUGCUGGGGAUAGAGCAUUGUAAUUAUUGCUCUUCAACGAGGAAUUCCUAGUAAGCGCAAGUCAUCAGCUUGCGUUGAUUACGUCCCUGCCCUUUGUACACACCGCCCGUCGCUACUACCGAUUGAAUGGCUUAGUGAGGCCUCCGGCAUUGGUNUAAA
Molecule: ribosomal RNA, 1600 nt
Filed under: Meyerozyma guilliermondii
Lineage: Eukaryota; Fungi; Ascomycota; Pichiomycetes; Serinales; Debaryomycetaceae
Description: SSU rRNA
Rfam family: Eukaryotic small subunit ribosomal RNA
Source: RNAcentral